This 182-nucleotide RNase P RNA is filed under the name Clostridiales bacterium. RNAcentral's name for it is "partial RNase P RNA component class A". It matches the Rfam family "Bacterial RNase P class A", at positions 1 to 174 of the family's 367-position model. Rfam says of the family: Ribonuclease P (RNase P) is a ubiquitous endoribonuclease, found in archaea, bacteria and eukarya as well as chloroplasts and mitochondria. Its best characterised activity is the generation of mature 5'-ends of tRNAs by cleaving the 5'-leader elements of precursor-tRNAs. Lineage: Bacteria; Bacillati; Bacillota; Clostridia; Eubacteriales. The record is from RNAcentral.
UGAGCUGGACCGGAUGAUCGCGGGCACAGGUGCCGAAAGGCCGUGCGUGAGGAAAGUCCGGGCUCCACAGGGCAAGGGUGCCGGGCAGUUCCCGGUGAAGGUAACUUUAAGGAAAGUGGAACAGAAAAGAAAACCGCCCCGGUCUUCGGGCCGAGGUAAGGAUGAAAAGGCGAGGUAAGAGC